AGCACCUGAAGUCAAGCAAGAACACCCGCUGAACUUAAGCAUAUCAGUUAGCGGAGGAAAAGAAACCNACNAGGAUUGCCUUAGUAGCGGCGAGUGAACCGGCAAAAGCUCAAAAUGAAAAUCUGAAGCGGACAAAGUUUCAGAAUUGUAAUCUAGAGUGUUUCACGAAAGGUGAGGUCUUCGCACAAGUGCCUGAAAGGGUACGUCAAAGAGGGUGAAAACCCCGUAGAUGGCGAUGGACCUGCUGGCCGUGGGAUUUCGAAGAGUCGGGUUGUUUGGGACUGCAGCCCUAAAUGGGAGAUAAACUUCUUCUAAAGCUAAAUAUUUAUGGGAGACCGAUAGCGAACAAGUACUACGAAGGAAAGA
Molecule: ribosomal RNA, 366 nt
Filed under: Coleps sp.
Lineage: Eukaryota; Ciliophora; Prostomatea; Prorodontida; Colepidae
Description: LSU rRNA
Rfam family: Eukaryotic large subunit ribosomal RNA
Source: RNAcentral